This 301-nucleotide ribosomal RNA is filed under the name uncultured bacterium. RNAcentral describes it as "partial 16S ribosomal RNA". It matches the Rfam family "Bacterial small subunit ribosomal RNA", at positions 509 to 807 of the family's 1533-position model. The record is from RNAcentral.
CAGCAGCCGCGGGAACACGAAGGGUGCAAGCGUUACUCGGAAUUACUGGGCGUAAAGCGUGCGUAGGUGGUGGUUUAAGUCCGUUGUGAAAGCCCUGGGCUCAACCUGGGAAUUGCAGUGGAUACUGGGUCACUAGAGUGUGGUAGAGGAUAGUGGAAUUUCCGGUGUAGCAGUGAAAUGCGUAGAGAUCGGAAGGAACAUCUGUGGCGAAGGCGACUAUCUGGGCCAACACUGACACUGAGGCACGAAAGCGUGGGGAGCAAACAGGAUUAGAUACCCCCGUAGUCCCUGUCUCUUAUAC